Molecule: ribosomal RNA, 874 nt
Filed under: uncultured bacterium
Lineage: Bacteria
Description: bacterial SSU rRNA
Rfam family: Bacterial small subunit ribosomal RNA
Source: RNAcentral
UGAAACUAGAUACAAGCCGAGCGGCGGACGGGUGAGUAACACGUGGGUAACCUGCCCAAGAGACUGGGAUAACACCUGGAAACAGAUGCUAAUACCGGAUAACAACACUAGACGCAUGUCUAGAGUUUGAAAGAUGGUUCUGCUAUCACUCUUGGAUGGACCUGCGGUGCAUUAGCUAGUUGGUAAGGUAACGGCUUACCAAGGCAAUGAUGCAUAGCCGAGUUGAGAGACUGAUCGGCCACAUUGGGACUGAGACACGGCCCAAACUCCUACGGGAGGCAGCAGUAGGGAAUCUUCCACAAUGGACGAAAGUCUGAUGGAGCAACGCCGCGUGAGUGAAGAAGGGUUUCGGCUCGUAAAGCUCUGUUGGUAGUGAAGAAAGUUAGAGGUAGUAACUGGCCUUUAUUUGACGGUAAUUACUUAGAAAGUCACGGCUAACUACGUGCCAGCAGCCGCGGUAAUACGUAGGUGGCAAGCGUUGUCCGGAUUUAUUGGGCGUAAAGCGAGUGCAGGCGGUUCAAUAAGUCUGAUGUGAAAGCCUUCGGCUCAACCGGAGAAUUGCAUCAGAAACUGUUGAACUUGAGUGCAGAAGAGGAGAGUGGAACUCCAUGUGUAGCGGUGGAAUGCGUAGAUAUAUGGAAGAACACCAGUGGCGAAGGCGGCUCUCUGGUCUGCAACUGACGCUGAGGCUCGAAAGCAUGGGUAGCGAACAGGAUUAGAUACCCUGGUAGUCCAUGCCGUAAACGAUGAGUGCUAAGUGUUGGGAGGUUUCCGCCUCUCAUGCUGCAGCUAACGCAUUAAGCACUCCGCCUGGGGAGUACGACCGCAAGGUUUGAAACUCAAAAGGAAUUUGACGGGGGGCCCCGCACAAGCC